UGGGGACUUCUGUUGACGGGCGUCCCCUGACCCCUUGUGCUGACUGCGAAUAGCUCAAACGCUAUCUACGGCAGCACGCGCUUAAUCGUUAGCUCUGUUUGGAACUAACGCGUCAGCGUGUGUAAACUCGUUGCGUUGGCUUACAUUUUUCCUAUUAACGCAUAGGCUUCGGACAAGCGUGGGAAUCUUUACACCGCUGUCUACUUUCUUUAUCACCCCCAUUUUGUUGUGGAGGUGCCGGGAGUUUAACCCGGAUCCAGCAGAUUAUUGCAUUGCCACUUGUUUAUUGUCAUAGCUAAGUUAGC
This 305-nucleotide non-coding RNA is filed under the name Candidatus Hodgkinia cicadicola. The record is from RNAcentral. Lineage: Bacteria; Pseudomonadati; Pseudomonadota; Alphaproteobacteria; Hyphomicrobiales.